RNAcentral lists this ribosomal RNA (484 nucleotides) under uncultured bacterium. RNAcentral describes it as "partial 16S ribosomal RNA". It matches the Rfam family "Bacterial small subunit ribosomal RNA", at positions 30 to 507 of the family's 1533-position model. The record is from RNAcentral.
AUUGAACGCUGGCGGCAGGCCUAACACAUGCAAGUCGAGCGGAUGAAGGGAGCUUGCUCCUGGAUUCAGCGGCGGACGGGUGAGUAAUGCCUAGGAAUCUGCCUGGUAGUGGGGGAUAACGUCCGGAAACGGGCGCUAAUACCGCAUACGUCCUGAGGGAGAAAGUGGGGGUUCUUCGGACCUCACGCUAUCAGAUGAGCCUAGGUCGGAUUAGCUAGUUGGUGGGGUAAAGGCCUACCAAGGCGACGAUCCGUAACUGGUCUGAGAGGAUGAUCAGUCACACUGGAACUGAGACAAGGUCCAGACUCCUACGGGAGGCAGCAGUGGGGAAUAUUGGAAAAUGAGCGAAAGCCUGAUCCAGCCAUGCCGCGUGUGUGAAGAAGGUCUUCGGAUUGUAAAGCACUUUAAGUUGGGAGGAAGGGCAGUAAGUUAAUACCUUGCUGUUUUGACGUUACCAAAAGAAUAAGCACCGGCUAACUUCGUG